Molecule: ribosomal RNA, 460 nt
Filed under: uncultured bacterium
Lineage: Bacteria
Description: partial 16S ribosomal RNA
Rfam family: Bacterial small subunit ribosomal RNA
Source: RNAcentral
CCUACGGGAGGCAGCAGUGAGGAAUAUUGGUCAAUGGCCGGAAGGCUGAACCAGCCAAGCCGCGUGAGGGAGGAAGGCGCAGAGCGUCGCAGACCUCUUUUGCCGGGGGACAAAAGGCCGGACUCGUCCGGUCCUGAGGGUACCCGGAGAAAAAGCAUCGGCUAACUCCGUGCCAGCAGCCGCGGUAAUACGGAGGUGGCAAGCGUUGUCCGGAUUUACUGGGUGUAAAGGGCGUGCAGCCGGAGAGACAAGUCAGAUGUGAAAUCCACGGGCUCAACCCGUGAACUGCAUUUGAAACUGUUUGCCUUGAGUGUCGGAGAGGUAAGCGGAAUUCCUGGUGUAGCGGUGAAAUGCGUAGAUAUUAGGAAGAACACCAGUGGCGAAGGCGGAUUACUGGACGAUAACUGACGGUGAGGCGCGAAAGCGUGGGGAGCAAACAGGAUUAGAUACCCUUGUAGUC